CGCACCUUGCGCUCCUUGGUAUUCCGAGGAGCAUGCCUGUUUGAGUGUCUUGAAGUCAUCAACACCACCUGUUUUUGUGCGGGUUGGUCUGUUGGACGUGGGGGCUCUUGCCGCCGUGAGGCGGCUCCCCUCAAAUGCUUCGGUUGGACCUUGCGGGUCGAACUCGACUGGGCGUUGUACCAUCCUCGCUCUCCAGAAGUUCCCUGCUGCAGUGUCCUCCCACGACCGGCCUGUGGAGCGGCGGUCAACAUUUUGAAAUCUGACCUCAAAUCAGGUAGGACUACCCGCUGAACUUAA
This 297-nucleotide unclassified non-coding RNA is filed under the name Trechispora sp. RNAcentral describes it as "partial contains 5.8S ribosomal RNA, internal transcribed spacer 2, and large subunit ribosomal RNA". The record is from RNAcentral. Lineage: Eukaryota; Fungi; Basidiomycota; Agaricomycetes; Trechisporales; Hydnodontaceae.